UAAUACAGAGGUCUCGAGCGUUAGGCGGAAUCACUGGGCUUAAAGCGUGUGUAGGCGGACUGGUAAGUACCUUGUGAAAUCCCACGGCUCAACCGUGGAACUGCUUGGUAUACUGCUUGUCUUGUGCAACCUAGGGGCGAGCGGAACAGAUGGUGGAGCGGUGAAAUGCGUAGAUAUCAUCUGGAACGCCAAUGGUGAAAACAGCUCGCUGGGGGUUUGCAGACGCUGAGACACGAAAGCCAGGGGAGCGAACGGGAUUAGAUACCCCGGUAGUCCUGGCCCUAAACGAUGUCCACUAGAUCGUAGUUGCUCUGACGUAAUUAUGGUCGAAGCAAAAGUGCUAAGUGGACCGCCUGGGAAGUACGGUCGCAAGGCUA
RNAcentral lists this ribosomal RNA (377 nucleotides) under uncultured bacterium. RNAcentral's name for it is "bacterial SSU rRNA". It matches the Rfam family "Bacterial small subunit ribosomal RNA", at positions 521 to 896 of the family's 1533-position model. The record is from RNAcentral.